GUCAACAACCCACGGCUAAAGUCGCGGGCUUGCAAGCCCGUUGUUGAUUAGACUAAGUGCUUCGAGCACUACGUUAUCUAAGAAUGUAUAGGUACCAGGGGAUGUAUAGCCAAGUCCCUUGCUCUA
Molecule: small RNA, 126 nt
Filed under: fish gut metagenome
Description: HNH endonuclease-associated RNA and ORF (HEARO) RNA
Rfam family: HNH endonuclease-associated RNA and ORF (HEARO) RNA
Source: RNAcentral